RNAcentral lists this ribosomal RNA (459 nucleotides) under uncultured bacterium. RNAcentral's name for it is "partial 16S ribosomal RNA". It matches the Rfam family "Bacterial small subunit ribosomal RNA", at positions 338 to 795 of the family's 1533-position model. The record is from RNAcentral.
CCUACGGGAGGCAGCAGUGAGGAAUAUUGGUCAAUGGUCGGGAGACUGGACCAGCCAAGCCGCGUGAGGGAGGAAGGUACAGAGUAUCGUAAACCUCUUUUGUCAGGGAACAAAGGCGGGGACGUGUCCCCGGAUGAGUGUACCUGAAGAAAAAGCAUCGGCUAACUCCGUGCCAGCAGCCGCGGUAAUACGGAGGAUGCGAGCGUUAUCCGGAUUUAUGGGGUGAAAAGGGUGCGCAGGCGGUCUGUUAAGUCAGCGGUCAAAGCCCGGGGCUCAACCCCGGCCCGCCGUUGAAACUGGCAGUCUCGAGUUGGAGAGAAGUAUGCGGAAUGCGCGGUGUAGCGGUGAAAUGCAUAGAUAUCGCGCAGAACUCCGGUUGCGAAGGCAGCAUGCCGGCUCCACACUGACGCUGAGGCACGAAAGCGUGGGUAUCGAACAGGAUUAGAUACCCUUGUAGUC